Molecule: ribosomal RNA, 428 nt
Filed under: uncultured bacterium
Lineage: Bacteria
Description: partial 16S ribosomal RNA
Rfam family: Bacterial small subunit ribosomal RNA
Source: RNAcentral
GUAGGGAAUAUUGCGCAAUGGGGGAAACCCUGACGCAGCGACGCCGCGUGAGUGAUGAAGGCCUUCGGGUCGUAAAGCUCUGUUGCAGGGGAAUAAAAAAAUGAAGGUACCCUGUGAGGAAGGAUCGGCUAACUUCGUGCCAGCAGCCGCGGUAAGACGAGGGAUCCUAGCGUUGCUCGGAAUCAUUGGGCGUAAAGAGGGCGUAGGUGGCUUGGUAAGUCAGGUGUGAAAGCCCAGGGCUCAACCCUGGAAGUGCAUUUGAUACUGCUGAGCUUGAGGGUCGGAGAGGUUACCGGAAUACCUGGUGUAGUGGUGAAAUACGUAUAUAUCAGGUGGAACACCGGAGGCGAAGGCGGGUAACUGGACGAACACUGACACUGAGGCCCGAAAGCGUGGGGAUCAAACAGGAUUAGAUACCCGAGUAGUCC